This 71-nucleotide transfer RNA is filed under the name Loxodonta africana (African savanna elephant). It matches the Rfam family "tRNA". Rfam says of the family: Transfer RNA (tRNA) molecules are approximately 80 nucleotides in length. Lineage: Eukaryota; Metazoa; Chordata; Mammalia; Proboscidea; Elephantidae. The record is from Rfam by way of RNAcentral.
GCAGUGGUGGUUAGGUGGUAGAAUUCUCACCUUUCAUGUAGGAGACCUGGGUUCAAAACCUGGCCAAUGUA